Molecule: ribosomal RNA, 438 nt
Filed under: uncultured bacterium
Lineage: Bacteria
Description: bacterial SSU rRNA
Rfam family: Bacterial small subunit ribosomal RNA
Source: RNAcentral
UACGGGAGGCAGCAGUGGGGAAUAUUGCACAAUGGGCGCAAGCCUGAUGCAGCCAUGCCGCGUGUAUGAAAAAGGCCUUCGGGUUGUAAAGUACUUUCAGUCGUGAGGAAGGUGUUAAGGUUAAUAACCUUAGCAAUUGACGUUAGCGACAGAAGAAGCACCGGCUAACUCCGUGCCAGCAGCCGCGGUAAUACGGAGGGUGCGAGCGUUAAUCGGAAUUACUGGGCGUAAAGGGCACGCAGGCGGUUAAUUAAGUUGGAUGUGAAAUCCCCGGGCUUAACCUGGGAAUGGCAUUCAAGACUGGUUAGCUAGAGUCUUGUAGAGGGGGUAGAAUUCCAUGUGUAGCGGUGAAAUGCGUAGAGAUGUGGAGGAUACCGGUGGCGAAGGCGGCCCCUGGACAAAGGCUGACGCUCAUGUGCGAAAGCGUGGGGAGCAAAC